AAUUCAGAGAUGGAUUUGUGCCUUCGGGAACCGUGAGACAGGUGCUGCAUGGCUGUCGUCAGCUCGUGUUGUGAAAUGUUGGGUUAAGUCCCGCAACGAGCGCAACCCUUAUCCUUUGUUGCCAGCGAUUCGGUCGGGAACUCAAAGGAGACUGCCAGUGAUAAACUGGAGGAAGGUGGGGAUGACGUCAAGUCAUCAUGGCCCUUACGACCAGGGCUACACACGUGCUACAAUGGCGCAUACAAAGAGAAGCGACCUCGCGAGAGCAAGCGGACCUCAUAAAGUGCGUCGUAGUCCGGAUUGGAGUCUGCAACUCGACUCCAUGAAGUCGGAAUCGCUAGUAAUCGUGGAUCAGAAUGCCACGGUGAAUACGUUCCCGGGCCUUGUACACACCGCCCGUCACACCAUGGGAGUGGGUUGCAAAAGAAGUAGGUAGCUUAACCUUCGGGAGGGCGCUUACCACUUUGUGAUUCAUGACUGGGGUGAAGUCGUAACAAGGUAACCGUAGGGGAACCUGCGGUUGGAUCACCUCCUUACCUGAAAGAAGC
This 548-nucleotide ribosomal RNA is filed under the name Salmonella enterica subsp. enterica serovar Montevideo. RNAcentral's name for it is "bacterial SSU rRNA". It matches the Rfam family "Bacterial small subunit ribosomal RNA", at positions 997 to 1533 of the family's 1533-position model. Lineage: Bacteria; Pseudomonadati; Pseudomonadota; Gammaproteobacteria; Enterobacterales; Enterobacteriaceae. The record is from RNAcentral.